Small nuclear RNA from Talpa occidentalis (Iberian mole), 135 nucleotides. RefSeq annotates it as U11 spliceosomal RNA. NCBI's taxonomy places the organism in Eukaryota, Metazoa, Chordata, Mammalia, Eulipotyphla, Talpidae. The record is from RefSeq and is a predicted model, not a curated record. The transcript has a single exon.
CACAAGGGCUUCUGGCGUGAGCAGCACACUCAAGCAGCUCAAUUGCUCUUCACGUGGAAUCAACAUCAAGAGAUUUUGGAAGCAUAAUGGUUUUUGGUAUUUGACAAGCUGGUGAUCAUUUGUCCCAACAUUCUU